AUGGCAAACUGCUUCCAGAGGCCGUCGACGACGGUGCCCGCGGCCCUUAUGAGCGAGGACGAGAUCCUCCAGCCAGCCAACCUCAGAAGUUUCACCUUUAAGGACCUCAAUAAGGCCAUGAGGAACUUCCGGCCGGAUAGCGUGCUCCGUGGGAGCGGCUUUGGAUCAAUCUUGAAAGGGUGGGCUAACGAAGCCUCCUUCGCCCGGGCUAGCUCUGGCACUGGCAUGCCCAUCGCCAUCAAGAAGCUCAACCAGGAAAACUUCCAGAUCCAUAAGGAAUGGCUGGAUGAGACGAGUCACCUAGGCCGAUCGUCCCAUCCCAAUCUAGUGAAGCUACUAGGGUAUUGCCUCGAAGACGAGCAACACAUACUUGUCUGGGCCUCACAUCUCCAACCACUGUCAUGGGAUUUGAGGGUGAAGGUUGCUCUUGGGGCAGCCAAAGGGGUCACAUUCCUCCACAGCGACAAGGCCAAUGUCAUCUGCGGUGAUUUCAAGACAUCAGACAUUCUUCUUGAUUCGAGCUACAAUGCAAAGCUGUCUGAUUUUGGGAAGCAAAAGGAAGAACCAACUAUUGAUCUGAGCUUUUAUAUUGAUGAAUUGCCGAGCUACUAUGCAAAAAGGCUGUCUGAUCUUGGGUUGUUGACUGGUAAUACAGAGCUUGGAGCUUAG
This 669-nucleotide ribosomal RNA is filed under the name Triticum aestivum (bread wheat). Its description in RNAcentral is "partial small subunit ribosomal RNA". The record is from RNAcentral. Lineage: Eukaryota; Viridiplantae; Streptophyta; Magnoliopsida; Poales; Poaceae.